This 368-nucleotide ribosomal RNA is filed under the name uncultured organism. RNAcentral's name for it is "bacterial SSU rRNA". It matches the Rfam family "Bacterial small subunit ribosomal RNA", at positions 526 to 896 of the family's 1533-position model. The record is from RNAcentral.
CGGAGGGUGCAAGCGUUAUCCGGAUUCACUGGGUUUAAAGGGUGUGUAGGCGGGUAUUUAAGUCAGUGGUGAAAUCUCCAGGCUCAACCUGGAAACUGCCAUUGAUACUAUUUAUCUUGAAUUCUGUUGAGGUGGGCGGAAUAUAUCAUGUAGCGGUGAAAUGCUUAGAGAUGAUAUAGAACACCGAUUGCGAAGGCAGCUCGCUAAACAGAUAUUGACGCUGAGGCACGAAAGCGUGGGGAUCAAACAGGAUUAGAUACCCUGGUAGUCCACGCCCUAAACGAUGAUUACUCGACAUACGUGAUACACUAUGUGUGUCUGAGCGAAAGCAUUAAGUAAUCCACCUGGGAAGUACGUCCGCAAGGAUG